This 1022-nucleotide long non-coding RNA is filed under the name Mus musculus (house mouse). Its description in RNAcentral is "long non-coding RNA chr12:19297559-19298581". The record is from RNAcentral. Lineage: Eukaryota; Metazoa; Chordata; Mammalia; Rodentia; Muridae.
UUCAAUCUUCCUAUUUCUUUAUUCAAGUUACAUUCAUAUCGGUACACCCAUCCCAUUCCACCUUCCACAGUCCCUCAUCACUGACUCCCUUUUAUCUCCCCAUGGAGGGUGGGAACCACUUGAGUAUCCCCCAACUAUGGCAUGUCAAGUCUCUGUAGGGUUAAGUCUCUGCAGGGUUAGACACAUCCUUUCCCACUGAGGUCAGACAAGGCAGCCCAGUAAGGGAAACAGUUUGCACAGACUGGAACAGCUUAAGGGAUAUGUCCCACUCUGGAUGGUGGGGGCCUCCGUCCCAGCCUGUGUGUGCUCUUUGGUUGGUGGCUCCAUCUCUGAGAGUCUCCUAGGUUCCAGGUUAGUUGACUCUGAGGGUCUCCUCAUGGCCUUACUAUUCUUUCAGAGGCCCUCAAUUCUUUCCCCAACUCUUUUAAAAUACUCCCUGAGCCCUGUCCAAUGUUAGGUUGUGGGUCUCUGCAUGUUUCACUCAGAUGCUGGAAGGAGAUUCUCAAAGGACAAUGAUGCUAAGCUACUAUCUGCAAGUAUAACAAAUUAUCCUCAGCAAUGCCAGCCUUGGUGCUUGCCCAUGGGAUGGGUUACCAGUUGGGCAGGGUAUAGUUUGGCCAUUCCCUCAGUCUGUUUCAACUUUGUGCCUGCCUUACUUGCAGCAGAACAAAUUUUGGGAGGAAAGGUUUUUGGUUUUCUUGGUGUACUGAACACUUCACUGGUGGUUCUGCCUGACUGCAAGAUGUCACCUGUUCUUGGUCCAUAACUCAAUGCUAUAUAUCUAAGCUAAGAUCACCUCCCUAGCCGCAUUUGUGCCCUCCUAUUCAUAGUCUCAGGCACAUUCGACAGAUGCCCCCACCCUAACCCUCCCAGCAUCUGCUGAUUUCUUUUCAUUUUCCUGGCUUUCUGGCAUUCUCUUGUCUCUUACCACACCUGUUCCUAACACUCCCCUUCUUUCUUGACUACAGUCCCAUCCAGUUUUCUCCCUUCUACCUGCCUCUUCUGUCUCUUUCAUACCCCCU